Molecule: ribosomal RNA, 1485 nt
Filed under: Bacillus safensis
Lineage: Bacteria; Bacillati; Bacillota; Bacilli; Caryophanales; Bacillaceae
Description: bacterial SSU rRNA
Rfam family: Bacterial small subunit ribosomal RNA
Source: RNAcentral
GACGGACGCUCGCGGCGUGCCUAAUACACGCAAGUCGAGCGGCCAGAAGGGAGCUUAGCUCCCGGAUGUCUAGCGGCGGAGCGGGUGAGUAACACCUGGGGGACCUGCCUGUAAGACUGGGAUAACUCCGGGAAACCGGAGCUAAUACCGGAUAGUUCCUUGAACCGCAUGGUUCAAGGAUGAAAGACGGUUUCGGCUGUCACUUACAGAUGGACCCGCGGCGCAUUAGCUAGUUGGUGGGGUAAUGGCUCACCAAGGCUGGUGAGCUGUACACUUGACUGUGUAGUGCAUCAUUGUGGAACUGAAACCCCGCUCUUGUUCUUGUGUGACGCAGCAUUUAGCUUAUUUUUCCCAAAUGACGAAAGUCUGACGGAGCAACGCCGCGUGAGUGAUGAAGGUUUUCGGAUCGUAAAGCUCUGUUGUUAGGGAAGAACAAGUCGCGAGAGUAACUGCUCGCACCUUGACGGAACAUAACCAUAUAGCCUAGGGCUAUCUACGUGACGAGCAGACGUGGUAAUAUUGUAGGUCGCUAGUGUUGAUCUAGAAAUUAUUGGGCGUAAAGGCGCUCGCAGGCGGUUUCUUACAGUCUGAUGUGAAAGCCCCCCGGCUCAACCGCGAGGGUCAUGUGAAUACUGGGAUAACUUGAGUGCAGUAGAGGAGAGUGCGAAUUCCACGUGUAGCGGUGAAAUGCGUAGAGAUGUGGAGGAACACCCAGUGGCGAAGGCGACUCUCUGGUCUGUAACUGACGCUGAGGAGCGAAAGCGUGGGGAGCGAACAGGAUUAGAUACCCUGGUAGUCCACUCUGUAAGCAUUUCAUGCUAAGUGUUGGGGUUUCUCCGCCCCUUAGUGCUGCAGCUAACGCAUUAAGCACUCCGCCUGGGGAGUACGGUCGCAAGACUGAAACUCAAAGGAAUUGACGGGGGCCCGCACCCCCCGGUGGCCCAUGUGGUUUAAUUCGAAGCAACGAGAAGAACCUUACCAGGUCUUGACAUCCUCUGACAACCCUAGAGAUAGGGCUUUCCCUUCGGGGACAGAGUGACAGGUGGUGCAUGGUUGUUGUCAGCUCGUGUCGUGAGAUGUUGGGUUAAGUCCCGCAACGAGCGCAACCCUUGAUCUUAGUUGCCAGCAUUCAGUUGGGCACUCUAAGGUGACUGCCGGUGACAAACCGGAGGAAGGUGGGGAUGACGUCAAAUCAUCAUGCCCCUUAUGACCUGGGCUACACACGUGCUACAAUGGACAGAACAAAGGGCUGCAAGACCGCAAGGUUUAGCCAAUCCCAUAAAUCUGUUCUCAGUUCGGAUCGCAGUCUGCAACUCGACUGCGUGAAGCUGGAAUCGCUAGUAAUCGCGGAUCAGCAUGCCGGGGUGAAUACGUUCCCGGGCCUUGUACACACCGCCCGUCACACCACGAGAGUUUGCAACACCCGAAGUCGGUGAGGUAACCUUUAUGGAGCCAGCCGCUGAAGGUGGGGCAGAUGAUUGGGGU